AUCUUCAAAACUGGGUUCUUAAUUUCAACCACAAAUAAGAAAACUCCAACCUUCUCACUCAGACACAAUAAACCUUCAGAUCUAAUAUUUGAAUCCACAAACUCCAGAAAACUUAAUGGCCUUUGAUUUUUAUAUACCUCUCUGGGUUUGCUUCUGGAUCUACACUUAUGACGUUUUUCUAAGCUUUAAUUUCAGACACAAUAUCCAACUUCCCCUUCAGAAACAAAAUGGCAAACAUCGCAAAAAUUGAAUUCCCGGCUCUUAAUAUCACCGGAGAAAAUUAUAUGCCUUGGACGGCACAUGUUAAGCGACAUCUCAAGUCAAUGGGUGUUUUGGAAACGAUAACGGAGUGGAACGAUUGUAGCGAUCAAGACAAGGCAAAAGCCGAUGUCUUCCUCCAUAAACACAUUGAUGAGAUGUUGCAAUUUGAAUAUUCAAAUUUUGAGGAUCCAUACGUUUUGUGGGAAGAUUUAAAAAGCAGAUUUGAUAAUCAAAGGGAAGUUUUACUUCCCACUGCUAGAGAUGAAUGGAACAAUCUCAGGUUCCAAGAUUUUAAAAAGGUGAAUGAAUACACCUCUGCUUUGUUCAGGAUAUGCUCAACGCUCCGAUUUUGUGGGCAAACUGUUACGGAGGAAGAUAUAUUGGAGAAAACUUUCUCCACAUUUCAUGCAUCAAAUAUAAACUAGCAACAACAAUAUCAGUUGCAAAGGUUUCAAAGAUAUUCUGAUCUAAAUUCAUUUCUCCUCGUAGCAGAGAAAAACAAUGAGCUACUAAUGAAAAAUCAUCAAGCUCGUCCCACUGGAUCAUUAGCCAUUCCAGAAGCAAAUGCUGUUAUUAAUAAUGAUACUAAAGACUCUGGAAGAAAAUGGGGACGAGGCAGUGGCCAUUUUGGUAAAGGUAAUGGUCGUAAUUAUUCCUUCAAAAGCAAUAAUAAUUUCCGAGGUAACUCCCAUGGUCGUGGACCUGGUCGCGGUCGUGGUCGAAAUCAAAGAACCCCCAAUUAGCACACUCCACAAAAUACCAAUCCCAACCAGUAUAACAAAAGGAAUGAAGCUGGUAGGUCCGAAAACAAUGGCACUUCUUGUUUCAGAUGUGGAAGUGCAAACCAUUGGUCAAAGGCUUGUCGUACACCUUUACAUUUAUGUGAACUUUACCAAGCCCCUCUAAAAAGAAAAGAAAAGGAGAUGAACCAUGUGAAUAAUUUUAAUGAUAUCAAUGUCGAACUAAAUGUCGCCGACUUUACCAAUAACACGGAACUCUGAAACAAAUGUUGCUAAACCAUAAUAAUUAUAUGCAAUAAUUAUGUAAUUUCCUUUAUUAUAAGUGUCUUUAUUAUGUUUCAGUAGUCUUUCUUUUCAUGUAACGUUUUCAACUAAUAAAUAAACUUCUUACUAUAAAAUAAUUCACAAUGCCUUCGUU
Molecule: long non-coding RNA, 1419 nt
Filed under: Helianthus annuus (common sunflower)
Lineage: Eukaryota; Viridiplantae; Streptophyta; Magnoliopsida; Asterales; Asteraceae
Source: RNAcentral